This 127-nucleotide small nucleolar RNA is filed under the name Myotis davidii. RNAcentral's name for it is "Small nucleolar RNA SNORA31". It matches the Rfam family "Small nucleolar RNA SNORA31". From Rfam's summary of the family: ACA31 (SNORA31) belongs to the H/ACA class of snoRNAs which are thought to guide the sites of modification of uridines to pseudouridines. ACA31 is predicted to guide the pseudouridylation of U3713 in 28S rRNA and U218 in 18S rRNA. This family includes the mouse homologue snoMBI-161. Lineage: Eukaryota; Metazoa; Chordata; Mammalia; Chiroptera; Vespertilionidae. The record is from Rfam by way of RNAcentral.
CUGUAUCCACUGAUAGACCUUGAACAACCUGUUUUUCUUUUGGUUUGCAGUGGGAUGUGAAAGAAAAAUAUCCCUGCACUUUCUGUCUGUCUUUAUGGUGGCCCAGAUUGAAUAAGGGACUACAUCU